Molecule: small RNA, 51 nt
Filed under: uncultured Lachnoclostridium sp.
Lineage: Bacteria; Bacillati; Bacillota; Clostridia; Lachnospirales; Lachnospiraceae
Description: Streptococcus sRNA SpF59 (ldcC RNA)
Rfam family: Streptococcus sRNA SpF59 (ldcC RNA)
Source: RNAcentral
GACCACCCCCUCAGGGGUUAAGGCCAUACGGACAGCCGGGUCAACUGCCGA